UGUGUCUCCUUGCUCAAAAGUAAGUUUUGAAGACAAGAGAAAAGGAAAGGAAAGAUAAUAUUGAAAAGAGGCGAAUCCCAUUCCCAUCCCCCACCCAUCUCUCUCCCCUCGCCGCCGCCGCGAUUCCGGCGAGUUUCGGCGGCACGCAGCACACCGCCGACACCCCCUCACUCCGGUCCUUCCUCCUCUCCGGCCAGAUUCACGGCUACCGCGCGCAACCCCUCCCAAUCCCCGUGGAUAGGGUCGUGGGCAUGUCCCCGGCUCGAGCUGCGCGCCAAGAUCCACGGCACCAUCCUCCUCCAUGAUCCAGGAGAGGCGGCGGCGGCGGAGGAGCCAAGCCAUGGACCCUAGCCCGCGGCCAUCAGGAUCCGCAGGCAGGAGGCGCAGCCAUGGGAGGAGCAGGACGACGCCAUGGAAGGGUCACCAACAACUCCGGUCUUCUCCAUGGACAUGGAGGUCCUCCGCUGCACUCCCUGAUGCAUCAAGCGCGCAGGCAUACAAGGAGGCUCUGCUUCUUCCCAGGUCGCCAUGGAAGGUUGAUACUAAAUUGGCAAUGUUGCUGUUCCGACCCCGCUGCCGCUGCGGACGCCAUGGAGCCCGUCCAGCAGCAUGAUUGAUUCGGUACUGCAUCAUCCCCGGUUAAUGCAGAGGACAAGGGGCUCAUCGUGUGUGUCUCCCUUCGACCAACGAGGCACGACGUUGUUCGGCACUGGCUGCAAAAUAAUCACGAUUAUUCUUCAGGUUGAUACUAACUUGGUAAUGUUGCUGUUCCGAGACCCCGCUGCCGCUGCGGACGCCAUGGAGACCGUCAAGGCGCAGACUGUUGUGUGCCGCCUCUUCCAUGGGCGUCCACGCCAUGGAGCUCCUUAAGAGACCCUCAAUGAUGACCAAGGUGGAGUGCAGGACAUUGAGGACAUGAUAUGAACCGCCGUUCCAGACGCCCGCCUCAGGGAAGGAGCACUCCAUCCCGCUGAUAACAAUGUUUUGAAAGAGGAGAUGAUGGAUUUGGUGGAGGAGAAGAACUCCCUCAAGGACGAAAAGAGGAGCCCUGUGUACAGAAAACUUGUGAUGCUGCUUUGUCAAGUGCUUGUGUGGUUGUUUCGAUUUGACCUAGAAGACCGCUGCUUCGCUCCUCCGGGUCUGCUUAUUCCCGGGUCGCCGCUGCUCCCACGAUGGAGGAAACGCUUGUCUUGUUUUUCUGUAUUGAGCAAACGCUUGUCUUGUUUUUCUGUAGCAUUCACCAUGCAUGUCUCAUGUGAUCCUUGUGCAGGCCGUAUAGCACUAAUUGGACUGCGGUGGUCUGAUGACACCUUCCCUUGUCCAUGGAGGAUCCUCAAUAGGCAAGAUCAUAUGCCACCGCUGAUCCGAAGCUCAUGCCAGGGGAAGGGAUUCUGUUAUUGCCUUCUAUGUGGGUGGCGUAGACCACUGUGUGCCUCCUCUUCCAUGGACGCAGCAGCUGCUCCGACCCCGCUGCCGACACCAUGGAGAUCGUCAAGAUUGCAUUCCUCGGGAAGAUACUCCUUUCGUCCAUCAAACCUACCGGACAUGAUGGAAAAUCUCCAUCGCGCGCGACACCGGUCAUUUUCUCUUGCCAAGCGGUGCUGCAGAAGUUGACGCGGUUUGGGCUUGAAGAUGCACACGAUGGCGCCGUCGUCCUCGUGCUUUCUUCGCUGAUGAAGAUGCACUGGAUGGCGUCGUUGUCCUCGGGCUCUCUCCGCUGAUGAAGAUGCACUGGAUGGUGCAGUCGUCCUCGGGCUUUCUCUGCUGAUAAAGAUGCACUGGAUGGCGGCGUCGUCCUCGAGCUUUCUCCAUUGAUGGGUUAGGUUUCAGAAUUAAGCCAUGUAUGUAGUAGUUUGGCUCUGUCAUGUUGUAAUGUUUGUGAUGGAAGGACGCGAAGUACCUGUGCUUCCUGGGAUGUGUAGUGGACUCGAGAUGUUUUUUAUCAUCUCAUCUGAGAAGUAGUUGAUGACAUAGAUAUUUAACUUUGUUUUGGUGAAGAUGUAUUGCACUGCGCUGUGUGUGCGCGCGCACAUGCAUGCGUGUUCCUGUUUGAUCAUAUCUGGUGGAAGUAACAUCUUCAUUGUGAAGGUUGGGAUGUGAAA
Molecule: long non-coding RNA, 2102 nt
Organism: Triticum aestivum (bread wheat)
Lineage: Eukaryota; Viridiplantae; Streptophyta; Magnoliopsida; Poales; Poaceae
Exons: 10
Source: RefSeq, a predicted model, not a curated record